UACGAAGGGGGCUAGCGUUGCUCGGAAUUACUGGGCGUAAAGGGCGCGUAGGCGGCUCUGUUAGUCAGGCGUGAAAGCCCUGGGCUCAACCUGGGGACUGCGCUUGAGACGGCAGGGCUUGAGGGCAGAAGAGGCUCGCGGAAUUCCCAGUGUAGAGGUGAAAUUCGUAGAUAUUGGGAAGAACACCGGUGGCGAAGGCGGCAUCCUGGACCGGUAUUGACGCUGAGGCGCGAAAGCCAGGGGAGCAAACGGG
Molecule: ribosomal RNA, 253 nt
Filed under: uncultured bacterium
Lineage: Bacteria
Description: partial 16S ribosomal RNA
Rfam family: Bacterial small subunit ribosomal RNA
Source: RNAcentral